This 112-nucleotide ribosomal RNA is filed under the name Escherichia coli DEC14C. The record is from RNAcentral. RNAcentral also lists the same sequence under 1 other name. Lineage: Bacteria; Pseudomonadati; Pseudomonadota; Gammaproteobacteria; Enterobacterales; Enterobacteriaceae.
GGCGGCCUUAGCGCGGUGGUCCCACCUGACCCCAUGCCGAACUCAGAAGUGAAACGCCGUAGCGCCGAUGGUAGUGUGGGGUCUCCCCAUGCGAGAGUAGGGAACUGCCAGG